CCUACGGGGGGCAGCAGUAGGGAAUAUUGCUCAAUGGGGGAAACCCUGAAGCAGCAACGCCGCGUGGAGGAAUGAAGGCCUUCGGAUUGUAAACCUCUGUCAUGUGGGAGCAAAUGAAAAAGAUAGUACCACAAGAGGAAGAGACGGCUAACCCCGUGCCAGCAGCCGCGGUAAUAAAGAGGUCUCAAGCGUUGUUCGGAAUCACUGGGCGUAAAGAGUGCGUAGGCUGUUUCGUAAGUCGGGUGUGAAAGGCGCGGGCUCAACCCGCGGACAGCACAUGAUACUGCGAGACUAGAGUAAUGGAGGGGGAACCGGAAUUCUCGGUGUAGCAGUGAAAUGCAUAGAUAUCGAGAGGAACACUCGUGGCGAAGGCGGGUUCCUGGACAUUAACUGACGCUGAGGCACGAAGGCCAAGGGAGCGAAAGGGAUUAGAUACCCUUGUAGUC
RNAcentral lists this ribosomal RNA (446 nucleotides) under uncultured bacterium. RNAcentral describes it as "partial 16S ribosomal RNA". It matches the Rfam family "Bacterial small subunit ribosomal RNA", at positions 338 to 795 of the family's 1533-position model. The record is from RNAcentral.